Long non-coding RNA from Oryza brachyantha (malo sina), 557 nucleotides. RefSeq lists it as uncharacterized. The transcript has 3 exons. The record is from RefSeq and is a predicted model, not a curated record. Lineage: Eukaryota; Viridiplantae; Streptophyta; Magnoliopsida; Poales; Poaceae.
CUGGCGACGCGAGGAGACGACACGGCCGGCGACACGAGGCGGCCGGCGACGCGAGGAGACGACGCGGCCGCUCAUCGAUGUCGACGACGACCUCUUCCCAUCCGACGUCCUUCUCGCCGAUUGUACCAGCAGUUUCUAGGAUUGGUGAAGACGAGCCGCCUCCUUCCUGGGACUUUGUUUUGACUCCGAAAGGUCCUACAUUGGGUACAAAGGGCAGUUCAUCAAUCACAUUUUGGCUGUGUUCUACUCUUCAAAAGAAGUUGGCUGUUUAGUUGGAAAUUUAGCAGGUUUCUAGUGUUGUUCUGCACUGCUGUUUACACUUGAUUUCUUUGUGUACAUGUUGUUGGGAGGAAUCAGUGGUGGACUAGAGUGAUACAUUCUCAUGUGGAAUUUUAGGAAGAGAAUUUUCUUUUACAGUAUCAAUGUGGUGCAUUGGCAUGUGCACUGUCAGUGAAUUAUUCUAGUAUUGGCUUUGUUCUCUAGUCAUAUGUGAUUGGGGAAUUUGGCUUAUAAGCCAUGCCUGCAUACACCUUGUUUCUGUUCUAUAGUCAUAUGUU